Long non-coding RNA from Oncorhynchus tshawytscha (Chinook salmon), 1508 nucleotides. Lineage: Eukaryota; Metazoa; Chordata; Actinopteri; Salmoniformes; Salmonidae. The record is from Ensembl.
UUUAGAUGGUUGAAACCACAGUGAUAACUAUACCAACAACCAGACAUUGUUUUUUUCCAUGGAAAUGUUGUUGUGCUUUUAGAUGGUUGAACGCACAGUGAUAAACACAUUGGAAUUUCAACAAUGAGUCAUUCCUUCCACCACAUUUAUAAACGAAUCAACGAUACCACAGCUGGCUAAUCGAAACUAGGCGAUAGUGAACAGUCCCACAACAAAGACAAAUUAGUCAAGGGUCAUUGCUGCCCUCUGUCGUUUGUUUGCGUUCUGUACAUUCACGUUUCCAGAGAGGAGAAACAUCCUUUUGUCUGCACUGAAACCACACACAUUGUGGCCUUUUAAUAGAUACAUUUGGCUUUAAUAUAAAGUCACUGUAAACCCAAUGAAAACAUUUGUACACAGAUUAGAAACAUGAUACAUUUUUAUUUACAGUUUAUAAAUUGUACCAUCACAUCUAACCAAAACGUCAACCAUUUGAUGUUUUAACUAGUUAAAUUGUCCCUGUACAUUUCAAAAGCAUAAAAACAAAACAAAAGGUUAGACAUUUUUGUCGAAGAUUAAAAGGCAUGAAUAUCUUCCCUCCCUUAGAUAAAAACUCCUCACUCAGACAGACCCAUUUAAUAGGUCUGAACCCAAUGAAGCCCCUUCUAGUGAAGUGAGUCUGUUGUCUGGCCUCAGGCUAUAAUGAGGAAGGGAAACGACUAGGCACAUGCCACAGAGGGAAACUGGUUUCUCUCUGUUCUUAAAAUGGGUCUCCAGGUUCUCUUUCAAAAAGGCCUGAUUGACUCCCUCACUCCAAAAACAAGUCAUGGUUUGAAUAUGUUAAUGAAGACUCACCUGAGACACCUGACACUCCACUGCAUUAACAAGCAUCAUGACGCUAAAUAAAUGGACAAAACACAGUACGUCUAUGUCAUGAAAACAACUAUUAAAAAGGUUAACAACUUUAUUUAUUACAGGGUAUUAUCAAUCUAGAGUUGAUAUUAGAGGGUAUUAUCAAUCUACAGUUGAUAUUAGAGGGUAUUAUCAAUCUAGAGUUGAUAUUAGAGGGUAUUAUCAAUCUAGAGUUGAUAAAAACAAACAAACCGUCACUAAAAAGCUUGUGGUUCUCAAACAGCCAAGACCUGUGACUGACGUGAGAAGCUCUUCUGUCACACCAACAGUAGACAAUAAAAGGCAGGAGGAAAACUGCAUUAUCCAAUAAGCUGCACUGAGAAUUCAUACACAGUCUUAUUCAGGCAAUGGCAGCUUGUAACAGAAAGCAAAUUUAAAUUCAGAUUCAAGAAUAAAAAAUAUUUAAAAAUCCUCAUUGAAAAUACUAGAUGGCACUUUUCAAAUCUUUGAAUCAGCAUUCCAAUUCGCUUCCUGACUACUGAACUGAAUUGAGGCCGCCCUUCCUUCAAUCACAGGCUGUACUCCACAUUGAAGGCCUUUACAUAGAUAACAGUGAUACUCCACAUUGAAGGCCUUUACAUAGAUAACAGUGAUACUCCACAUUGAAGGCCUUUACA